ACUGAGAUCCAGGAAAGGGAAGUGAUUUUCCAAAGACACACCUGUGAAAGGUGAGGAGAACAGCCCAGUGAGGCUGAGGCCACACAAUUAACCCCAGUCUUUGCACUACAACUCUACCAGGGAUCCUGGUUUGGCUCAUUUUCUUUCUUCUGCACCAUGAUUGUUCACCUUUUCAUUACCAGCAACAUACCCAAAGACCUAGCUAUAGACUCGUUGGAAUCUGUUACUUAGCAGCUGUGUGAAUCAAGUGUUCAAUAGGAAUAAUAAGAUGUAUUCAUCUUACCUUUUCAGAACAUUAUGAAGAACAAAUGUGGUAAGACAUAUGAAAAUGCUUUGUAAAGUGUUAGAUGCUUAAUACACAGAAGACAUUGCUUCCAGAUCUGUUUCAACGUACCCCAAGAAUGGAAUAAGUGGAAUAUGCUGGUUUCAUGCACUGUGGCAAGGGGGUCUCAUCUUGGCUAGACUUGAAUAAGUGGAUUUGUUGCCUGGCCUCUGUGGAUGGCUCUUUCUCUGGGCUUUUGUGUAUUUGAUUUUUUAUUUGCUCCAGCAGCCGUGUUGAACCAUGAAAGGACCUCAGGAAUGAAACCCACACACAGCAAAGCAACAAAGUGAAAGAAGCGUGGAUUCCUAAUGCAGGAGGCACUGAACCAAUCAAUACCCACUGCCCUCCAGACCUCCACAUGAAAGAAAAAAACUGCUGUCCUGGAUUCCUUUAAGCCUCUCUGAAACUUGACCCUCUGGCAGGAACAGGUGCCAUUACAUACAGACACUCUCUCUCUUCCAAAUUCACCCUGUCAUAUCAAAGGGAAAACUGAAGUGGUCCACUGUAGACCUGACAGAUGAUCACAAACAGGAAACCAGCAAUCAGAAGUGCCUACUGAGCUCCCUACCCUGACCAUCACCUACAGCUACAUUUUACAGAUACAAAAUCAUUGUUUGUUCAACUUUCAUAUCAAAGGAUGCUAUUAGUUCAUUUCCAAAGGUGGGAAAAUGUUUCAACUUACUUUAUUACUUGUCUGCUACUUACUAUUUUCCCUCCGUUUGCCUGCCUGACUUCUUUUAACUCUUCACUCAACAAAUAUCUACUGACUACUGAGCACUUGCCAAGUGCUAGGCCAGAGCUGGAUGCUGUACUACGGGCAGAUGAAGUGCUAUGGGCAUCCAGAGGUGGAAGAAGAGGGUAUAGCGAAAGGGGAGAAAAGGCUGCAACAAUAUUCACUGAGCCCUGUGCUCCCAGGUCAUCACAUAGACUAUGUCAUUAUUCCUCCUAACCACCCACAUGAGUAAAUAGGGGCUAUUACUGAAGAAACAGAGGCUUACAAAGGUUGAGCAACUUGCCCAAGGUCAUCUAUCACAAGACACUACAAGUCAGACUGCUGAAGAGGGAGUUUCUGCUGAGAAGCUGAAGUGGGCAGCUCAUAUUGGAUAUGAAGGCUUCAAAGGAAUCUAAAUCCUAAUGAUCCCUCUAGAGCCAACAUGCAGCACCAGUUUUCUCUUCCACAUUUGAACUGCUCAUCCACUUCCGGCUCCAAGACCUCACUCUCCAUCUAAACUAGUCCCACGCCAUCCAUAUCUUUCUCCACUAACGCCACCCAAUCACAACCCCACAGCCUCUUAGUCAUGAGUCAUUUUUUAAAAACUGCAAACCAUGUAAUGAGCCAUGGCAAUAUGCAACCCUAAACCUCAACACGUGUUUUCCACAACAAGGCCACAGGUGGCAGAAGCGAGCCUAAGGCCGUAGGACACUAAGGCAGGACUCUCUGGCUUGAGCUUUCCAAAAAGGGAGGUGAGAGAAGGUCUACCUGCGGGAAGUCAUGCUGAAGGCCUGAGGCUGAGUCAAAGAAGGAGCCCCCUGGAGGCUCUGCAGUUCCUGGACUUCAGGUAGAGGAACUCUGCCAUGAACACCUCUGGAAUCGUGUCAUUUUGGGACAAUUAGAGAAUAUCAGUUUUCAGACUGAGUUCUAUGGGAAGGUGCCUGCACAACAAAGGAGAGACGGAAUGGACUUCAGGUCUUCCAAAAUACCCCUCAUGUUCACCAAGUUGCUCUCUGCUCUAAGAUACCAGAUGAGGGGGCCAGUGGGGACUGAAACCCAGUCCCCAGUCUGCUGGCCAAUCCCUUUGCCUGUGAGGCUGCUCUGUCCUACCAGAGAGGGCACUUUUCAUAAUUUGCACCAAGUACAGAAUAGGAUAGUGUAGCUUUACCCUUCUCCCUACCAUCAACCACAGACACAUCAACACAUGCACACAUACAGCCACACAAAUAUACCUACAGGCAUACACAUACAACACAGGCACAUACAUGUUUGCACAAAGUCACAUGUAGACACAAACGCAGAGCACACAGACACAAACACAGGCACAAACCCAUACUUACACUACACACACACACAAACACACACAGACACACAAAUGCAAAUUAAGCCACAAUGUAGCACAUAGAGAUAUAGACACAGACGCAAAUACAGUCACAUAGAGAUAUAGACACACACUUAUACACACAUAUAUGUAAAUAUACAGUCUCAUUCACUUUAUACCACACAUGUAUAAACAUACACAAUUGUAUGUAGACACACAUACACAUAGGUACUCAGACCGCAUAGAUACAUAUGUACACACAUACAAAUAUAUGCACAUACACAGAUAUAUAUAUACACACAUGCAUCUUUAACCAGAACAACUUUACUUUUGUCAGUUUUAUAUGACAGAGUCUUUAAAAAAAGAUUUCAUCUGGCUUGUGUUCUACUAUUAAAAGAGAAAAUGAAUUUGCUUGU
Molecule: long non-coding RNA, 2771 nt
Filed under: Homo sapiens (human)
Lineage: Eukaryota; Metazoa; Chordata; Mammalia; Primates; Hominidae
Description: HSALNT0007712
Source: RNAcentral